RNAcentral lists this transfer RNA (70 nucleotides) under Erinaceus europaeus (western European hedgehog). It matches the Rfam family "tRNA". From Rfam's summary of the family: Transfer RNA (tRNA) molecules are approximately 80 nucleotides in length. Their secondary structure includes four short double-helical elements and three loops (D, anti-codon, and T loops). The record is from Rfam by way of RNAcentral. Lineage: Eukaryota; Metazoa; Chordata; Mammalia; Eulipotyphla; Erinaceidae.
GUGGGGGUGGCAUAGCGACAGAGCAUAGGACUUGCAUGCCUGAGUCCUGGGUUCCAUCCCUGCCUCUGCA